This 253-nucleotide ribosomal RNA is filed under the name uncultured bacterium. RNAcentral describes it as "partial 16S ribosomal RNA". It matches the Rfam family "Bacterial small subunit ribosomal RNA", at positions 524 to 776 of the family's 1533-position model. The record is from RNAcentral.
GACAGAGGGUGCAAACGUUGCUCGGAAUUACUGGGCGUAAAGGGCGCGUAGGCGGGUCCGCCAGUCGAUCGUGAAAUCCUUCGGCUCAACCGAAGAACGUCGGCCGAUACUGCCGUUCUUGAGGGAUGCAGAGGAGAUUGGAAUUCCCGGUGUAGCGGUGAAAUGUGUAGAGAUCGGGAGGAACACCGGUGGCGAAGGCGGGUCUCUGGGCACCUCCUGACGCUGAGGCGCGAAAGCGUGGGGAGCAAACGGG